RNAcentral lists this ribosomal RNA (1129 nucleotides) under wastewater metagenome. Its description in RNAcentral is "bacterial LSU rRNA". It matches the Rfam family "Bacterial large subunit ribosomal RNA", at positions 1776 to 2925 of the family's 2925-position model. The record is from RNAcentral.
GGGGCACAAACCAGGGGGUGGCGACUGUUUACUAAAAACACAGGGCUCUGCGAAGCCGUAAGGCGACGUAUAGGGUCUGACGCCUGCCCGGUGCCGGAAGGUUAAAAGGAGAUGUGCAAGCAUUGAAUUGAAGCCCCGGUAAACGGCGGCCGUAACUAUAACGGUCCUAAGGUAGCGAAAUUCCUUGUCGGGUAAGUUCCGACCUGCACGAAUGGCGUAACGACUUCCCCGCUGUCUCAAAUGUGGACUCAGCGAAAUUGAAUUGUCUGUGAAGAUGCAGACUUCCCGCGGUUAGACGGAAAGACCCCAUGCACCUUUACUAUAGCUUCGCACUGGCAUCAGGAUUGUGAUGUGCAGGAUAGGUGGUAGGCAUUGAAACCGGGACGCCAGUUCCGGUGGAGCCAUCCUUGAGAUACCACCCUUCGCACUCUUGAUGUCUAACCGCGGCCCGUUAUCCGGGUCCGGGACCCUGCGUGGUGGGUAGUUUGACUGGGGCGGUCGCCUCCCAAAGAGUAACGGAGGCGCGCGAAGGUUGGCUCAGAGCGGUCGGAAAUCGCUCGUUGAGUGCAAUGGCAGAAGCCAGCCUGACUGCAAGACUGACAAGUCGAGCAGAGACGAAAGUCGGCCAUAGUGAUCCGGUGGUCCCGAGUGGAAGGGCCAUCGCUCAACGGAUAAAAGGUACGCUGGGGAUAACAGGCUGAUGAUGCCCAAGAGUCCAUAUCGACGGCAUCGUUUGGCACCUCGAUGUCGGCUCAUCUCAUCCUGGGGCUGGAGCAGGUCCCAAGGGUAUGGCUGUUCGCCAUUUAAAGAGGUACGUGAGCUGGGUUUAGAACGUCGUGAGACAGUUCGGUCCCUAUCUGCCGUGGGUGUAGGAGACUUGAGAAGAGUUGCCCCUAGUACGAGAGGACCGGGGUGAACGUUCCACUGGUGGACCAGUUGUCGUGCCAACGGCAGUGCUGGGUAGCUAUGAACGGACAGGAUAAACGCUGAAGGCAUCUAAGCGUGAAGCCCCCCUCAAAACAAGGUAUCCCUUGAGAGCCGUGGAAGACCACCACGUCGAUAGGCCGGAGAUGUAAGCGCAGCAAUGCGUUCAGUUGACCGGUACUAAUGGCUCGAUUGGCUUGAUUUG